RNAcentral lists this small RNA (355 nucleotides) under Clostridia. Its description in RNAcentral is "CAG-269 sp902787685 Standard tmRNA". It matches the Rfam family "transfer-messenger RNA". Rfam says of the family: Bacterial tmRNA, also known as 10Sa RNA or SsrA, is named for its dual tRNA and mRNA-like properties. Its role is to liberate the mRNA from a stalled ribosome. To accomplish this part of the tmRNA is used as a reading frame that ends in a translation stop signal. The record is from RNAcentral. Lineage: Bacteria; Bacillati; Bacillota. RNAcentral also lists the same sequence under 1 other name.
GGGGGUGUAAUGGUUUCGACAUUGCUCUAGAAGUAUAAAUAGCGAGUAGUGGAUGGUCGCUUCGGCCACUAUAAAAAAGCGAAAAUAAAUUUAAACGCUGAUAAUACAGAAUUAGCAUUAGCUGCCUAAGCGCAGCUACGCCUUUUACAAUGUUCCCACGCAUAGUAAAAAGGUGUCAAACUAGUGGGAAACAAAUCUAUUUGGUAUCUUUGAAAAUAGAGGGUAUUUAAAAGAUAUAUUUAAGCUAAACAUGUUUGCUUGUAUAGUUUAGAUGAAUAAUUUUAGCAAACUGCACUCGGAGAAGUUUAUAUGGAAGGGGUAGUGGACAGGAGUUCAAAUCUCCUCACCUCCACCA